AAUGAACGCUGGCGGCGCGCCUAAUACAUGCAAGUCGAGCGAGAAGACGUAGCAAUACGUUUGUAAAGCGGCGAACGGGUGAGGAAUACAUGGGUAACCUACCCUAGAGUGGGGAAUAACUAGCCGAAAGGUUAGCUAAUACCGCGUACGCUCCUUGGACUUCGGUUCAGGGAGGAAAGCGAUACCGAGGGUAUCGCGCUCUUGGAU
RNAcentral lists this ribosomal RNA (207 nucleotides) under uncultured bacterium. RNAcentral's name for it is "partial 16S ribosomal RNA". It matches the Rfam family "Bacterial small subunit ribosomal RNA", at positions 29 to 226 of the family's 1533-position model. The record is from RNAcentral.